AUUUUCAGGGGAACUACGUCGCCCUGAUCCUCAUACCAGAUGAGGUACGUAGGCAGGAGAUGAGCUGAUCUCUCCGGGCGCCCUUUUUCUUUUUUAACCCCUUUGUGUGUGUUGGAGUAUGACAUAAGUCCAACGAUUGGCAGUUGGUUUCCUGUGUGUGUUUGUUGGUUCGGAGUCUGAUGUAAGUCCAGCGAUUGGCAUUCGGUUUCCAGGUUUGCCUGUUGGUUCGGAGUCUGACGUAAGUCCAGCGAUUGGCAGUCGGUUUCCUGUUUGUGUU
This 277-nucleotide long non-coding RNA is filed under the name Lathyrus oleraceus (garden pea). RNAcentral describes it as "Pisum sativum (pea) long non-coding RNA (PSAT_LNC032459)". Lineage: Eukaryota; Viridiplantae; Streptophyta; Magnoliopsida; Fabales; Fabaceae. The record is from RNAcentral.